UACGUAGGGUGCAAGCUUUAAUUGGAAUUACUGGGCGUAAAGGGUGCGCAGGCGGCCCCGCAUGUCAGGCGUGAAAUCCCCGAGCUCAACUUGGGAAUGGCGCUUGAAACUACGGGGCUGGAGUGUGGCAGAGGGAGGUGGAAUUCCACGUGUAGCGGUGAAAUGCGUAGAUAUGUGGAGGAUCACCGAUGGCGAAGGCAGCCUCCUGGGCCAACACUGACGCUCAUGCACGAAAGCGUGGGGAGCAAACAGG
RNAcentral lists this unclassified non-coding RNA (253 nucleotides) under uncultured Gammaproteobacteria bacterium. RNAcentral's name for it is "contains 16S-23S intergenic spacer region". It matches the Rfam family "Bacterial small subunit ribosomal RNA", at positions 524 to 776 of the family's 1533-position model. Lineage: Bacteria; Pseudomonadati; Pseudomonadota; Gammaproteobacteria. The record is from RNAcentral.